This is a long non-coding RNA of Drosophila subpulchrella, 1078 nucleotides long. RefSeq lists it as uncharacterized. The transcript has 2 exons. The record is from RefSeq and is a predicted model, not a curated record. Lineage: Eukaryota; Metazoa; Arthropoda; Insecta; Diptera; Drosophilidae.
UUCCGCUUCAGCGACCAAAUUCCGUUUCAGCGACUUUUUCUUUUAGAAAAGCCUAGCACUCGCAUCGACGUAAACCGAGAGCUAACCAUAGGAGUGAGAGGCAAAUACGCGGCUAACGCUUUUCGUCGGGUCUUAAAAAUGUAAUGAAAACUCAAAAAACGACUGCAGAAAGUCUGUGCAGAUGAAAAAGGACGCCUCCUCCAAGCUGUUGCAAAUUAUUGUGGGUCUUCACCGACAGGAAGCAAUACCACAACGGCGCAAAUCAGCAGAAUAGUUGAAAACCACCAGAACUAUCUCCGACGAGCUUUCCUCCACCAGCUAAUUGGCAGCUAAAGCGGAGAUGGAGGACGUCCUAGCUUCUAUAGGGAGGAGGAAAAAAGGGCGCCAGCUAAGGGACAGCUGGAGGAGUCAUUGCCAAGAUGCUGGGCGACUUCCUGCAGCAUUAGGCGGAUCCACCCCGUUCCCAAUCCGGCUUCCACUUCCGGCUUCUUUUGCCAAAGUGGUAUUGCUUCCUGUGGGCCAAGUCUCACAAUAACGAGCAAUUUGGAUAAGGCUUGGAUUCUGCACGAACACCCCAAAAGCUGACAUUUGUUUUCUUUGUGCGGCGGCUAACGGCGUUCAUCGAAGUCUAGUACUUUUCUGGUAUUUCCUGAGAUUAUGUGAGUACCGCGCUGAAAAACAGACCCGAGAAAAGCGUUAGCCGCCUAUUUGCAUCUCGCUCUUAUGGUUAGCUCGCGGCUUUCGUCAAUGUGAGUAGUAAUCACUGAGUACUAGGCUUUAGACUUGAUUUUAUUUGAUUUCAAUGUGUAACGUUAUCGAGAGAUUUUGAAAAAACGUUAUGUUAAGCGCAAAGUAGAAUAAUAUGUAUAUGUAUUUCUUAUCUAUUACUUGGGUUGUCAAAAAUUAUAAAAGCCGUUAAACAUUGUACAUACAUAACUUGGCUAGCCCGUGUAAAAUCAUAAAAAUACUAGAAAAUGUUAGGUUUGCAUAUGCAUUUAUGAUUAUACCCGAUACUCGUAGAGUAAAAGGGUAUACUAGAUCCCAAAUUAAUCAAGCAAUAUAACUACUCAAAAAUAAA